RNAcentral lists this ribosomal RNA (509 nucleotides) under bacterium E-1-0-10C. RNAcentral's name for it is "bacterial SSU rRNA". It matches the Rfam family "Bacterial small subunit ribosomal RNA", at positions 404 to 902 of the family's 1533-position model. The record is from RNAcentral.
UGUGAAGAAGGCCUUUAGGUUGUAAAGCACUUUAAGCGAGGAGGAGGCGCUCUAGGUUAAUACCUUAGAAGCGUGGACGUUACUCGCAGAAAUAAGCACCGGCUAACUCUGUGCCAGCAGCCGCGGUAAUACAGAGGGUGCGAGCGUUAAUCGGAUUUACUGGGCGUAAAGCGUACGUAGGCGGCUUUUUAAGUCGGAUGUGAAAUCCCCGAGCUUAACUUGGGAAUUGCAUUCGAUACUGGGAAGCUAGAGUAUGGGAGAGGAUGGUAGAAUUCCAGGUGUAGCGGUGAAAUGCGUAGAGAUCUGGAGGAAUACCGAUGGCGAAGGCAGCCAUCUGGCCUAAUACUGACGCUGAGGUACGAAAGCAUGGGGAGCAAACAGGAUUAGAUACCCUGGUAGUCCAUGCCGUAAACGAUGUCUACUAGCCGUUGGGGCCUUUGAGGCUUUAGUGGCGCAGCUAACGCGAUAAGUAGACCGCCUGNNGGAGUACNGUCGCAAGACUAAAACUC